AGCCAUACACAUAUCCACACAAGGCCAGGCAGUGUGCAGCAAAGUUUACAUGUCUGCUUGUUUAAUCUUCACAAUGACUACGUGACAUUAUUCAGAUAGCCUCAUUUCCGUCAUUAUAAAGAUGAGAGAAGUGGAAGUUCAGAGACAGCAAAUUAUUGCUCAAAGUCACAUACCCAGGCGGGGCAGCACCAGGUCCCCUGAACCCCAGGCCCUCCCUCUCACCCUGGCACUCUGCCAAAUGACUGCUAAUGAGAAUAUAUGCUCUGAAGGAAGAUAUGAAAAAAAUUGCUUCCACUGAGGGUGUUCUGGGACACAGAGGCAGUGGGAUCUUAAAGAGAAGGCUUUUCAUCGGUGGAGUGGAAGAACAAUAGCAGAGAGAGCUGCCCCCAGUGGAAGGGGAGCUAUCGGAAGCCUUGGAUGCCCAGGAGCUGAGGAGGGAACCAUGCUGUGAUGCCAGUUUUAACCACCUGCCAAGUCUGAAAGUGCUAAUUGAAUGGAGACUUUGCUUAACUGCAGCCUCCAAGAGGCAUGAGAAAUUCACAUGGAGGACUUCUAAAGGAACGGGUGGAAGGCAAUGCCUCCUGAGCCUUUGUAUGUGAAAGGCAUUCUGCUCAGCACUGCAAAGAACACAGAGAAAACCACCUAAAGAUGCUCAGAAUCUCAUGCAAGGGCUGAUUUACAUGUCACUUUUCUUUGAAAUAUUUUUUUAUUGCCGUAAGGGCACUUAACGUGAGACCUAUCCUCUUAAAAAAUUGUAGGCAUACAAUACAUUAUUGUUGAUUAUAAAGAUAUCAUACCUCACAAUUGUCGGGACGGCUAUUACCAAAAAAAAAAAAAAAAAAGCAUUCUGUCACUUGAGACAACACAGAUGAAUGUGGAGGACAUUAUGUUCAGUAAAACAAGUCAGGAACAGAAAUACAAAUACCACACAAUCUCACCUACAUGUAGAAUCUUAAAAAGUUGAACAAAUAGAAAAAGAGAGUAGAAAAAGAGACUGGGGGUUAGAGGAUUGGAGAGAUGUUAGUCAAAGAACACAAAAUUUCAGUUAGAUGGGAGGAAUAAGUCGUAGAGAUCUAUUGCCUAUCAUGGUGACUAUAGUUAUUAUACACCGGAAAAUUGCUAAGAGUAGAAUGUAAGCAUUCUCACCACAAAAAAAAAAAAAAAAGGUAAACAUAUGAGGUAGGGCAUAUGUUAAUUAGCUCAAUUUAGCCAUUCCACAAUGUGUACAUAUAUCAAAACAUCAUGUUGUACACCAAAAAUAUAUAUAAAUUUGUCAAUUAAAAAUUAAAUUAAACAAAAAACAAGUGUGGGCAAGGAUAUGGAGAAACUGAAACCAGUGUAUGCUGUUGGUGGGACUGCAAAAUGAUACAGCCGCUAUGGAAAACAGUGUGGAGGUUCCUCAAAGAGAUAAAAAUAAAACUACCACAUGAUUCAGCCAUCUCAUUUUUGGGUAUAUAUCUGAAAUAAUUGAAAUCAGGAUCUAAAAAAGAGAUAUUAUCACAUCCGUGUUUAUCGCAGUGAGUAAGAAAUUCACAAUAGCCAAGAUAAGGAAAGGACCCAUAUGUUCACUGACAGAUGAAUGGAUAAAGAAAUUGUGGUAUAUACAUACAAUGAAAUACUAUUCAGCUUUUAAAAAGUGAAAAAUUCUGCAAUAUGCAACAACAUGGAUGAACAUUGAGGACAUUAUGCUAAGUGAAAUAAGUUACACACAAAAAGACAAGUACUACAUGAUUCCACCUCCAUGAGUCAUCUAAAAUGGUCAAAUUCUUAAAAUCAAAGACUAGAAUGGUGGUUACCAAGGGCUUGGAGCAGAGGCAAAUGAAAUGUAUUAAUCGGUUUUUUUGAGAAGGUCAUGGCAGACGAGAGGCAGGACUAGAUUGCAGCUCCCACUCAGAUGGACAGAGCAGUGUGUGUAGUCUCGCAUUGUAAACUUUUGCUCCAGAACUACUGCAGAAAUAAUUCAGGAAAGCCAAGAGAACCCACGGACCCUCUGAAGGAAGCAAAUUGCUCCUGCAGGACCCAGGAGACACCCCAAAUACCGUGACUGCCCAAACUCUGGAAGUGAGAAAGGGGGAUCUUCUGCCUCUGAACACACAUGCUCACUAAGGAACCUGAAGGUCUACAACACGGAAGAAGAUUCUGAUCUAACCUGGAGCUGAGUCAAUUUAGAGAGCCAAGCGAAAUACAGGAGUAGAGGAAGCAGCGGGAAAAGCCCCGUGGGCUCUCUGCGUCCCCUGGGUAGCCAUUUCCGCCUUGCCUCACAGGGGGCCUUGGGGAGGACUGCCAGAAAAGGACUGGGAAAAGGCCACAAGGAGAAGGAAACCUCCAGCUGAACUUUGUAAUAAUUCCAACCGCAUGAGAAAUCUCCUGGCCAGAACUCAAGGGAGGGCAUGAAUCCUGUGUGCAGACUCCACAGGUGGGGAAGCAUGAAAGCCCUACUUACUUUCAUAGCUGGGAGGUGAGUAGCCUGGAGCUAGUUCUCAGCCCUGCUCACCCACUGCCUGGAAACAGACUCGGUGCUGUUGGGGGGUGGGUACAGUGAAAGUGAGAUCAUCCUUUUGGCUUGCAUGGGAGCUGGGUGAGGCCUGUGACUGCUGGCUUUCCCCGACCUCCCUGACAACCUACAUGACACAGCAGAGGCAGCUAUAAUCCUCCUAGGAACAUAACUCUAUUGACCUGGGAACCACACUCCCAUCCCCCACAGCAGCCACAGCAACACCCUCCCAUAAGGAGAGUCUGGGCUCAGACACACCUAGCCUUGCCCCCACCUGAUGGUCCUUUCUACCCACGCUGGAGCUGAAGACAAAGGACUUAUACUCUGGGGAGUUCUAGGGCCCUGCCCACCACCUGAUCCUCCCUAUACUACCACAGCUGAUGCUUUCUUGAAAGUGCCACCUCCCUGCAGGAGGCCAACCAGCACAAAAAUAGUGCAUUAACAACCGAAAUUAAGGACCCUCACAGAGUCCAUUUCACCCCCCUGCCAACUCCACCAGAGCAGAUGCUGGUAUCCACAGCUGAGAGACCCACAGAUGGUUCACAUCACAGGACUCUGUAUAGACAACCCCAGUACCAGCCCAGAGCCUGGUUGACCUGAUGGGUGGCUAGAUCCAGAAGACAGAUUACAAUCACUACAGCUUUGCUCUCAGGAAGGCAAAUCCCUAGGAAAAGAGAAAGUACUACAUCAAGGGAACAUCCCAUGGGACAAAAGAAUCUGAACAACAGCCUUGAGCCCUAGACCUUCCCUCUGACACAGUCUACCCAAAUGAGAAGAAACCAGAAAACCAACCGUGGUUAUAUGACAAAACAAGGCUCUUUAACACCCCCAAAAAAAAUCACUCCAGGUCACCAGCAAUGGAUCCAAACCAAGAAGAAAUCCCUGAUUUACCUGAAAAAAGAAUUCAGAGAGUCAGUUAUUAGGCUAAUCAGGGAGCCACCAGAGAAAGGCAAAGCCCAAUUUAAGGAAAUUUUUUAAAAUGAUACAAGAAAUGAGGGGAGAGAUCUUCAGUGAAAUAGCAUAAAUAAAAAACAAUCAAAACUUCAGGAAACAAUGGAUGCACUUAUAGAAAUGCAGAAUGCUCUGGAAAGUCUCAGCAAUGCAAUCAAAUGAGCAGAAGAAAGAACUUCAGAGCUUGAAGACAAGGAUUUUAAUUAACCCAAUCCAACAAGACAAAGAAAAAAGAAUAAGAAAAUAUGAACAAAGGCUCCAAGAAGUCUAAGAUUCUUUCAAACAACCAAACCUAAAAAUAAUCGGCAAUCCUGAGGAAGUAGAGAAAUCUAAAAGUCUGGAAAACAUAUUUGUUGGAAUAAUCAAGGAAAACUUCCCUGGCCUUGCUAGAGACCUAGACAUCCAAAUACAAGAAACUCAAAGAACACCUGGGAAAUUCACCACAAAAAGAUCAUAACCUAGGCACAUUGUCAUCAGGUUAUCUAAAGUUAAGAUGAAGGAAAGAAUCUUAAGAGCUGUGAGGAAAAGCACCAGGUAACAUAUGAAGGAGAAUCUAUCAGAUUAACAGCAGAUUUAUCAGCAGAAACCCUACAAGCUAGAAGGUACUGGAGCCCUAUCUUCAGCUUCCUUAAACAAAACAAUUAUCAGCCAAGAAUUUUGUAUCCAGCAAAACUAAGCUUCAUAAAUGCAGGAAAGAUACAGUCUUUUUCAGAGAAACAAAUGCGGAGAGAAUUUGCCACUACACCAAGCCAGCACUACAAGAAUGCUAAAAGGAGCUCUAAAUCUUGAAACAAAUCCUGGAAACACAUCAAAACAGUACCUCUUUAAAGCAUAAAUCACACAGGACCUAUAAAACAAAAAUACAAUUAAAGAUUAAAAAAAAAGUAUACAGGCAACAAAUAGCAUGAUGAAUGGAAUAGUGCCUCACAUCUCAAUACUAACAUUGAAUAUAAAUGGCCUAAAUGCACCACUUAAAAGAUAACAGAAUUGCAGAAUGAAUAAGAAUUCACCAACCAUCUGCUGCCUUCAAGAGACUCACCUAACACUUAAGGACUCACAUAAACUUAAAGGGGUGGAAAAAGAUAUUCCAUACAAAUGCACACCAAAAGCAAGCAGGGGUAGCUAUUCUUAUAUCAGGCAAAGCAAACUUUAAAGCAACAGCAGUUAAAAAAGACAAAGAAGGACAUCAUUAUGUAAUGAUACAAGGCCUUGUCCAACAGGAAAAUAUCACAAUCCUAAAUAUAUAUGCAUCUAACACUGAAGCUCCCAAAUUUACUACUAGACCUAAGGAAUGAAAUAGACAGCAACAAAAUAAUAGUGGGGGACUUCAAUACUCCACUGACAGCACUAGACAGGUCAUCAAGACAGAAAGUCAACAAAAAAAAUGGAUUUAAACUAUACCCUGGAAUAAAUGAACUUAACAUAUUUACAGAACAUUCUACCCACAAACCUCAGAAUAUACAUUCUACUCAUCAGCUCAUGGGACUUUCUCCAAGAUAGACCAUAUGAUAGGCUAUAAAAAAGCCUCAAUAAAUUUAAUAAAAUUGAAAUUAUAUCAAGCACUCUCUCAGACCACAGUGGAAUAAAACCGGAAAUCAACUCUAAAAGGAACUUUCAAAACCAUGCAAAUACAUGGAAAUUAAAUAAUCUGCUCCUGAAUGAUCGAUCAUUGGGUCAACAAUGAAAUCAAGAUGGAAAUUAAAAAUCUCUUCAAACUAAAUUACAAUAGUGACAUAACGUAUCAAAACAUCUGGGAUAUAGCAAAGGUGUAAGAGGAAAGUUCAUAGCCCUAAAUGCAUACAUCAAAAAGUCUGAAAGAGCACAAACAGACAAUCUAAGGUCACACCUCGAGGAGCUAGAGAAAAAAGAACAAACCAAACCCAAGCCCAGCAGAAGAAAGGAAAUAAGAUCAGAGCAGAACUAAAUGAAAUGGAAACAAACAAAAAAAAAUACGAAAGUGAAACAAAAAGCUGGUUUUUUGAAAAGAUAAAUAAAAUUGAUAGACCAUUAGCAAGAUUAACCAAGAAAAGAAGAGAGAAAAUCCAAAUAAGCUCAACUAGAGACAAAACAGGAGAUACUGCAACUGACCACAGAAAUACAAAAGAUCAUUCAAGUGUACUAUAAACACCUUUAUGUACAAAAACUAGAAAACCUAGAUGAGACGGAUAAAUUCCUGGAAAGAUACUAACCUCCUAGCUUAAAUCAGAAAGAAUUAGAUACCCUGAACAGACCAAUAAUAAGCAGUGAGAUUGAAAUGGUAAUUUAAAAAUUAACAACAACAACAACAAGAAAAAUCCAGGACCAGAUGGUUUCAAAGCUGAAUUCUACCAGACAUUCGAAGAAGAAUUGGUACCAAUCCUAUUGACACUAUUCCACAAGACAAAGAGGGAAUCCUCCCUAAAUCAUUCUAUGAAGCCGCUAUCACCCUAAUACAAAAACCAGGAAAGGCAUAAACAAAAAAGAAAACUACAGACCAAUAUCCCUGUUGAACAUAGAUGCAAAAAUCCUUAACAAAAUACUAGCUAACCUAAUCCAACAACAUAUCAAAAAGAUAAUCCACCAUGACCAAGUGGGUUUUAUACCAGAGAUGCAGGAAUGAUUUAACAUAUACAAAUCAAUAAAUGUGAUACACCACAUAAACAGAAUUAAAAACAAAAAUCACAUGAUCAUCUCAAUAGACACAGCAAAUUAAACAAAAUCCAGCAUCCCUUUAUGAUUUAAACUCUCAGCAAAAUCGGCAUACAAGAGGCAUAACUCAAUGUAAUAAAAGCCAUCUAUGACAAACCCACAGCCAACAUAAUACUAAAUGGGGAAAAGUUCAAAGCAUUCACUCUGAGAACUGGAACAAGACAAGGAUGCCCAAUCUCACUACUUCUCUUCAACAUAAGUACUUGAAGUUCUAAAAAGAGCAAUCAGACAAGAGAAAGAAAUAAAGUGCAUCCAAAUCAGUAAAGAGGAAGUCAAACUGUCUCUGCUGAUGGUAUGAUUGUAUACCUAGAAAACCCUAAAGACUCCUCCAAAAAGCUCCUAGAACUCCAGCAAAGUUUCUGGAUACAAAAUUAAUGUACACAAAUCAGCAGCUGUCCUGUACACCAAUAGCGACCAAGCUGAGAAUCAAACCAAGAACUCAACCCCUUUUACAAUAGCGGCAAAAAAAAACAAAACAACAACAACAAAAACUUGGGAAUACACCUAACCAAGGAGGUGAAAGACCUCUACAAAGAAAACUACAAAACCCUGCUGAAAGAAAUCAGAGACAGCACAAACAAAUGGAAACAUGUCCCUUGUUCAUGGAUAGGUAGAAUCAAUAUUGUGAAAAUGACCAUACUGACAAAAGCAAUCUACAAAUUUAAUGGAAUUCCCAUCACAAUACCACCUUUUCCAGUUCUUCACAGAACAAUAAAAAAAAAUCCUAAAAUUCAUAUGGAACCAAAAAAGAGUCCACAUAACCAAAGCAAGACUAAGCAAAGAGAACAAAUCUGAAGGCAUCACGUUACCUGAUUUCAAACUAUACUGUAAGGCCAUAGUCACCAAAACAGCAUGGUACUGGUACAAAAACAGGCACAUAGACCAAUGGGACAGAAUAGAGAACCCAGAAAUAAACCCAAAUACUUACAGCCAACUGAUCUGUGACAAAGCAAACAGAAACAUAAAGUGGGGAAAGGACACUCUAUUCAACAAAUGGUGCUGGGAUAAUUGGCUAGCCACAUAUAGGAGAAAGAAACUGGAUCCUCAUCUCUCAUCUUAUACAAGAAUCAACUCAAGAUGGAUCAAAGACUUAAAUCCAAGAUGUGAAACUAUAAAAAUUCUAGAUGAUAACAUCAGAAAAACCCUUCUAGACAUUGGCUUAGGCAAGGAUUUCAUGACGGAGAACCCAAAAACAAAUAAAAACAAAGAUAAAUAGCUGGGACUUAAUUAAACUAAAGAGCUUUUGCCUAGCAAAGGAACAGUCAGCAGAGUAAACAGACAACCCACAGACUUGGAGAAAAUCUUCACAAUCUAUACAUCUGACAAAGGAUUAAUAUUCAGAAUCUACAACAAGCUCAAACAAAUUAGCAAGAAAAAAAAUCCCAUCAAAAAGUGGAGUAAGGACAUGAAUAGACAAUUCUCAAAAGAAAAUAUACAAAUGGCCAACAUACAUACGAAAAAAUGCUCAGCAUCACUAAUGACCAGGGAAAUGCAAAUCAAAACCACAAUGUGACACCAUCUUACUCCUGCAAGAACGGCCAUAGUCAAAAAAAAUAAAAAUAAAUGGAUGUUGGGGUGAUGCGGUGAAGGUGAACAGGGUACACUUCUAGUAUAGAAGUGUAGGAAUGUAAACUAGUACAACCACUAUGGAAAACACUGGAGAGUCCUUAAAGAACUAAAAGUGGAAUUACCAUUUGAUUCAGCAACCCCACUGCUGGGUAUCUACCCAGAGGAAAAAAAGUAAUAUGAAAAAGAUAUUUGCACACCCAUAUUUAUAGCAGCACAAUUUGCAAUUGCAAAAAUGUGGAACCAACCCAAAUGCCCAUCAAUAAACAAGUGGAUAAAGAAACUGUGGUAUAUACAUAUAUAUAUGAUGGAAUAUUACUCAGCCAUAAAAAAGGAAUGGAUUUUUCACAUUCCCAGCAACCUGAAUGAAAUUGGAGACUAUUAUUCUAAGUGAAGUAACCCAGGAAUAGAAAACCAAACAUUGUAUGUUCUCACUCAUAAGUGCGAGCUAAGAUAUGAGGAUGCAAAGGCAUAAGAAUGACACAAUAGACUUUGGGGACUCAGGGUGAAAGGGUGGAAAGAGUGUGAGGGAUAAAAGACUACGAAUUGGGUAUAGUGUAUACUGGUCAGGUGAUAGGUGCACCAAAAUCUCAUAAAUCAGCACUAAAGAAUUUAUUCGUGUAACCAAACACCACCUGUUCCCCAAUAACCUAUGGAAAUAAAUAAAAUAAAGAAAUGUCUUAAUUGAAAGGCAUAAAGUUUCUGAAAUAUUUUUUAAAACCACCCCCCACACCCACACACACAACUAUCCUUAACACACACACAGUAUUUUAGUACACUGUUAAUAUAUAUGCCCCUAUGUUUUAAUUGCCAUUAAACCAAUCCAAACAGAUGAGAACCUGGCCAAUGACUGCCAUUUCCCUAACUUGAGCGAUUGCCAAAAGCAUUUGGUUUAUUCUGAGGUGAUCUCUCUUUCUGACAUUUAUUUUGGGCUCUGAGAGAGAGUUUUAACCCAUAAUAGCUGAUGGAAUGUGAUUAAGUGAUAGUUCCCAGCCUGUGAAGAUGCAGGGAAAAAACAAACAAACAACAACAACAAAAACACCUAAGCAGCAUAUCAGACAGCAUGCCAAAAUAAUCAUUUUACUGCGACUCAAGAUACCUUCAAAGAAUUGGCCUACCAAAGAUUAGCAAGUUAAGAGUUCAUGGGAGAUAUUUGCCAUUAGAAAGGGCAGUAUUAGACAUCACUGCUGCUGGUUAGAAUUCACCAAAACUUGAAUGAAUGGCAACCAGAAGAAACCUUGGCAGGAGGCACUGGAGACUUCAGGAGGAGAUAUGAGGAGACUUGAAGGGCAAUAGCCAACACAGCUGCCAGGGAACACACCUGCAGGGAGGUCUAUUGUUUAGCAACCUCAUGUAGCACUGAACGUUUAAGUGCUCCUAUAUUCAGGUAGAAUGCUGCUAAAAUUGGGGAACAUGUAUGUAUUCAUACAGACGAUGUUGACAAAACACUUGCCAUAAUACUAGGCAAAACAAAACCUAACAGGUUUCAUUCUAUGGUAUGAUCAUAAUUAUCAAAAACAAAAGCACAAAACUAUACAAAUAAAGGAGUUAAGAUGGAAAUACACAAAUCUAUGAACGGUGAUUGCCUUGGCUGGUAGAACGAUAAGUAGAGUUUUCUUCCCUUUCUGUGACUUCCAAAUUUUCUUGAAUAAUUACGUGCUUUUACAAUAAAAAAAAAACUUACUUUAAAAAGAAGAAAUGUCCUUUGUUUUCUUUCUCUCUCUCUCUCUCUCUCUCUCUCUCUCUCUGGAAAGUACACUAUUUUCCUCUUAGGAGUUGCCUCACCUGCUGUUUUCUGGUAUUCCAUUUUCCGUGACCCAAGCCAACACACAAUGUUCAGCAAAUGAAGAAAACAUGAGGGAAUUGGUGAGAUGAGAGUUAGAUUUGGGGGAAGCCAAGUGACUAAAAUAAGCAGUUAAUUCUUUAUCAUGUAGUCAUUCUGCCUGGCAAACACUAGGUAUGCCAAUAAGUACUAACACAGUGCCUAUCUCUUUUCAGUAUUAUUUUAAAAUGUUAUAACACCUGAGCAUUAUGGAAAUUGUUCUUUUUGAAGUAAAACUCAGGAUACAAUAAUCAACAAAGGACUUCCAAGCUGUCUCUAGGAGCAAGUUUUAUACACAAAUACAUAUAAUUGUUUAAUAACCUCAUAAUUUGUUCAUAAUUUAUUCAUAAAUAACAAACGUAUACAUAAGUAUAAUGUAAAUAUACAUAUCCCAAAUUAGUAAUAUUUGGGGAACAUUUUGAUGGUUCAUGUGAAAAUAGGACAUGUUGAAUUUGAAAUGGUUAUAGGACACUAAUGUAUUUCUUAAUUGUACUUAAAAUGCUAAAAUGACUCUGAAGAUAGCUGUUUAUUGCUUAAAAACAAAUAUUUCCAUUACUUUCUAGAAUAAGAGGUAUCAACAGCAGUAGCAGCAGUACGUAUUACAUUUAAGAGUUGAUGUGGAAAUCAGAUUGCCUCAACUCAAACCAAAUUCCUUAAGUCCGUGACCAAGGGCAAGUUACUAAAUCCUUCAAGUCUCACUUUCCUGAUUUGUAAAAUAGAGUACUUGGAGGUUUGAAAUGAUUACAUGACAUAAUUAAUAUUUACAUAGUACCUCACCCAUAUGAGGUCUUAAUAAAUGUUAUCCAUUACUGUUAUCAUCCUUACUAUCAAACAUGUACCAGUAGAACCCAGGCUCAAUUUUUAAAUCAGUCCUUUGCUGUAGAAGCCACAAGACGGCUGCAUCUGAGAGGAUACUGACAGGUACUGCCAGGAAGCCAUGUGUACCUGCAGGAGACCAGCACGUGUUGUAGCAGGAAGUUAGAACUCAGAAUUGUAAGUUGCUAACCAUAUUUAAGAAUUUCUUGUGCACUCAGUUUUCAAUGAUGGGAAGAGCAGCUUGAACAUUUUGGGGGUGUUAGGUACAGAAUGUAGAUUUUCCAGCCCUGUGUCCUUUGGAAUACAAGCUGCUACUUGUUGUCAAUGUUGGAAUGAAGGUUUAUUUUGGCAAGGAUGAGACUGUCUUCCUUCCAGAUUCUUGGGAAUUUAACAUGCCAGAUACUAGUGGGCUCAGCUCUCAAUGAAAAAGCACAAGAAUGGCAUCUGGUGGAUCUCCAUAUCCUUUCCAAGAGACCCAUUUACCCUCCCUCUCUAGCUCUAAUUCUUUUAUAGAAUAGGACCGAAAUAAAAUGUUUCUGCAUUUCCAAAGAUUUUAGUCUCUAUGGUAUAGGAAUUCCAAUGCUGAGACCUCAAUAUGAAAACUAGUCAUAUUUAUGGGAAAACUCCCAGGGUAUCUGGUACAAGCAAAUGUAGAACCACUCGUUAGCAACAUUUCCUCAAAUAAGAUUCUAUGCAGUUUCCAUAGUGUUAAUAAUCCCCACUGAGAGUUAGUUCACAAUGAAAAAUUAUGAACUAUAUAAGGAAACAAACCACCAGGAAGAUUAUAAGUACAAUAUCAGAAAAAAUAGCAUCCCCCAAAUUCAAAUUAAUAGAAUGUUAAGAGGUUACUAAAAUAUGUAUUUUUAAAAUUAUUAAAGAGAUAGGAGAAGGCAAAAUAACAACGAAGGAACAGGACAUAGUAAAAAUAAUUAGAGAAACUGGAAAAUGAAACAAAUGGAAUUUCUACAAAUGAAAAUAUAGUUACUGAGAUUAAACUCAGUAUAGAAAUGAAAUAGCAUAUUAAACUAAGGUGACAAAAGAAUUACUGAACUGGAAGCUAGAAUUAAAAAGAAGGUAAACAAACAGAAUAUGUAAAAGUUUUAGAGAGACAUGGAAGAUAGAAAGAAAAUUUUCAACAUUUACCUAGAAUAAGUAACGGAAAGCAAUAGUAGAUAGAAUAAGAGUAACACGCCGGGUGCGGUGGCUCCCGCCUGUAAUCCCAGCACUUUGGGAGGCCGAGGCGGGUGGAUCACCUGAGGUCGGGAUUUCGAGACCAGCCUGACCAACAUGGAGAAACCCCGUCUCUACUGAAAAUACAAAAAAAUUAGCCAGGCGUGGUGGUGCAUGCCUGUAAUCUCAGCUACUAGGGAGGCUGAGGCAGGAGAAUCGCUUGAACCCGGGAGGCGGAGGUUGCGGUGAGCCAAGAUCACGCUAUUGCACUCCAGCCUAGGCAACAAGAGUAAAACUCGGUCUUGAAAAAAAAAAAAAAAAAAAGAGUAACACUUGUUCUUUGGAAGACAAUAACUUGGAAUUUGAUAAAAAAGAUAUUUUAGAAUUGAAAAAUAUAAAUGCUCAGUUUGAUAAAGCAAGAUAUCCAAGCAGUACAAAGAAAAAAAAAGUUUUUAUCUAGACACAUAACAGUAAAACUGCAGCAUCUCAAGAUGAAGAUAACAUCUUUUUAAAAAACCAAUUAGAAAAAAAUAGUUCCAUGCAAAAGACCUACAAUUAAUAUGGCAGCAGACUUCUCAUGAGCAACAAUAAAGACCAGAAGACAAUGAAAUAAUUUUUAAAUUCUGAGAGUAAAAGAAAAUCAGUAUUCUAUAUUCAACUAAACAUUUUCUACUCAAAAAUCCAUACAUAUAUACGUGCUCUUUUAAUACGGGAGGUGAAAUAAUAACAAAUA
This 12240-nucleotide long non-coding RNA is filed under the name Homo sapiens (human). RNAcentral describes it as "non-protein coding lnc-VPS33B-8:1". The record is from RNAcentral. Lineage: Eukaryota; Metazoa; Chordata; Mammalia; Primates; Hominidae.